Molecule: ribosomal RNA, 492 nt
Filed under: uncultured bacterium
Lineage: Bacteria
Description: partial 16S ribosomal RNA
Rfam family: Bacterial small subunit ribosomal RNA
Source: RNAcentral
AGUGAACGCUGGCGGUAGGCCUAACACAUGCAAGUCGAACGGCAGCACAGUAAGAGCUUGCUCUUACGGGUGGCGAGUGGCGGACGGGUGAGGAAUACAUCGGAAUCUACUUUUUCGUGGGGGAUAACGUAGGGAAACUUACGCUAAUACCGCAUACGACCUACGGGUGAAAGCAGUGGAUCUUCGGACCUUGCGCGAUUGAAUGAGCCGAUGUCGGAUUAGCUAGUUGGCGGGGUAAAGGCCCAGCAAGGCGACGAUCCGUAGCUGGUCUGAGAGGAUGAUCGGCCACACUGGAACUGAGACACGGUCCAGACGCCUAAGGGAGGCAGCAGUGGGGAAUAUUGGACAAAGGGCGCGAGCCUGACCCAGCCAUACCGCGUGGGUGAAGAAGGCCUUCGGGUUGUAAAGACCUUUUGUUGGGAAAGAAAAGCAGCAGGUUAAUACCCCGCUGUUCUGACGGUACCCAAAGAAUAAGCACCGGCUAACUUCGUG